CUCUCUCUCUAUUUGUAAAUUUCACUUGUAAUUUUUGGAGUGAAAUAUAUUUGGUAGUGCCCGAGGACGUAGGCAAAAUUUGCUGAACCUCGUUAAAAUUCUGGUGUUCUUUAUUAUUUGUUUUGCAUAUUUUGUGAAUGUGAUUGUAGUGAUUUAUUGUGCUAUUAAAUUACGAUAGAGGGAUAUUCUGGCUAGGAAAGACUUGGUAUUUAAGUGAUCUUCGUGAUCUACCUCUCUUUCCUGGGAAUUGAACUUAGUGUGAUUUUUCAGUACAAUAAUUUUACUCUUUCACACGCUUCCGCGCAACAAUUGGUACCAGAGCCAGGUUCGUACUUGGGGAAUACGACUGUUUACGAUACUAUUCACGUAUACGGCACUAUUCACGUAUAUAGUACUAUUCACGUAUACGACACUAUUCACGUAUACGGUACUGUUCACGUAUACAGUAGUUGGGAUUGAGGAGAAAAAUGGCAGCAGCAUCGUCAUCAGUAAGGACUACUGUGACAAAUGCAAAAUUUGAAGUAGAGAAAUUUGACGGUACCAAUAAUUUUGGUAUGUGGCAAUGUGAGAUCUUGGAUGUCUUAUGUCAGCAAGAGCUAGAUAUAGCCCUUGAAGAAAAACCUGAUAAGAUGGAUGACAAGGAGUGGGCCAAGAUCAAUAGACAGGCGUGUGGUACAAUCCGCCUAUGUUUGGCCAGAGAGCAGAAGUACUCUGUCAUGAGGGAGACAUCAGCGAAGAAAUUAUGGGAUGAAGAAAGUAAGCAAUGGUUAGGCCUAUUUAUAGUUGAGGUUCAAGGAUCAACUUGCAAUGUCCCUAUACAAUUAGGGACCAAAAUUGCAAUUAUCCCAUGCCAACUUUUAACCCAACUUGCCAACCAAUAUUACUUUCUACUUUCGGUGCCCACCCCAUUUGACUUUUCAAACAACGGUGGGUUCCAAUAAUCACACGGUCUUCACAUCAAGCUGAACUAGUUCAAGAUCAUAUUGCGCAACCAAGGCUAGCAAAAUCCGAAUAGACGAAUGCUUCAAAACUGGAGAAAACACUUCAUUGUAGUCUAUUCCUUCUUUCUGAGCGUAACCCUUUGCUACUAAUCUAGCCUUGUAUCGAAUUUCAUUUUUAUCAAGAAAUCCUUCCUUCUUUGCAUAUACCCAUUUGCAUCCAAUUGCCUUCUUUCCCUUGGGUAGUGUCACCAACUCCCAGGUCUUAUUUUUAUGAAGAGACUGCAUUUUUUCAUUCAUUGCUUGCUUCCACUUUACACCAUCAGGGUUACUUAUUACUUCUGUGUAAGUAGAAGGAACAUCAUCAUCUGUAAUUGGAAGUGCAUAGGCCACUAUAUCAUCAAAGCGAGCAGGCUUACGAAUCUCUCUUCUUGGCCUUCUAUAUGCAAUUGAAUCUUGUUGCUGUAGAGGUUCUUGGGUAGGAACCUCUUCAUCAUUUGUCCCUUCAAUAUUAGCUGGAUCAUCGUUAACCUUUUCAAGCUCCACCUGCUGCAAAGUACUACUGGUUUUGUCAUCCUUUUGUGAAUCCUUGUACUUUAACAUGGUUGAUUCAUCAAAAGUCACAUCUCUACUGAAAACAAUCUUCCUUGUAUCAGGACACCAGAGACGAUAUCCUUUUACUCCAUCAGUUAUACCCAAGAAUAAUGCUUUCUUUGCUCUUGGGUCUAACUUAGAUUCUUUUACAUGAUAAUAUGCAGUGGAACCAAAUACAUGCAAAGAAUCAUAAUCAGUAGCAGAUUUACCAGUCCACAUCUCCAUAGGAGUUUUUCCAUUUAUUGCAGCUGAUGGCAAACGGUUAAUUAGAUGGCACGCAUAUGUAACUGCCUCAGCCCAAAAUUCUUUGCCCAAUCCAGCAUUGGACAACAUACAUCGAACUUUCUCCAGUAUAGUUCGAUUCAUUCGUUCUGCCACCCCAUUUUGCUGUGGUGUAUCCCGAAUAGUGAAGUGUCGCACAAUGCCCUCAUCUUGGCAUACUUGUAGAAAUGGAUCAUUUUUGUACUCAGUACCAUUAUCUGAUCGAAGUCGUUUGACCUUUCGACCAGUCUGAGUCUCCACCAUCUUCUUCCAUUUCAGAAAUGCAUCCAAAACUUCACUUUUUCUUUUCAUUAGAUACACCCAUACUUUUCUUGAAUAAUCAUCAACAAAAGUAACAAAAUAGUGCAUACCUCCCAAAGAAGCUACUUUGGUAGGUCCCCACACAUCACUGUGAACGUAGUCCAGAAUUCCUUUCGUAUUGUGAAUUGCUGGACCAAAUUUUACCCUCUUCUGCUUGCCCAGAACACAAUGUUCACAGAAUUCCAUUUUGCAAGAAUUUGCACCUUUCAAUAAGCCUUGCUUCACCAAUGUCUACAAAGCUUUUUCACCAGCAUGUCCCAAUCGCAUAUGCCAUAAUCUGGUAGCCUCUGAAUCUACAUCUUUUGUAGAAACUAUUGAUUUGAUCCAAUAACUGUACUUCCAUUUAAAAAAUACAAGUUAUUUCUUCUUGUGCCUUUCAUCACCGUCAGUUGCCCAGCUACUACUUUUAGUAAUCCAUCUCUCAAAGUGAUUGUGAGCCCUUUAGAUUCUAGGGCACCUAAUGAGAUGAGAUUUUUCUUCAGGCUAGGUACGUAGCGAACAUCUGUCAAGACUUGGAUUGAGCCGUCGUGAUUCUUCAAUUGGACUGUACCCACUCCCAUUGUCUUACAAGCACUAUCAUUGCCCAUAAGAACAAUUCCACCUUCUAGCUCUUUAAGACUAGAAAACCAGUCCUUAUUAGGACACAUAUGGUAAGUACAUCCUGAAUCCAAAAUCCACUCAUCCGUUUGACAUGCCAUUGCCAUGCCAACCAAGCUAAAGUCUGACUCCUCAUCAUGCUCCGCUACACAUGCAUUAGAAAUAGCCUUGCCCUUUUGUAGCUUAGGACAAUUCUUUUUCCAAUGCCCUUUUUCACGGCAAAAGGCACAUUCAUCUUUGGCGGGUUUCCCUUUGGAUUCAAGGUUGCUGGAAAAGAAAAUUGGGUUUGCAAACUGACAAAGUCGCUUUAUGGAUUGAAGCAAUCUCCUUCGACGAAUACGGAACGAGAAUACAUGUUGCAAGUUCCGUAUUCUAAUGCAGUGGGUAGCUUGAUGUAUGCAAUGGUGUGUACAAGACCCGACAUUUCACAAGCAGUUAGUAUAGUGAGCAGGUAUAUGCAUAAUCCUAGAAAAGGACAUUGGCAAGCUGUGAAAUGGAUUCUACGGUAUAUUCAGAAGACCGUGGAUGUUGGAUUACUGUUCAAGCAGGAUAAUACACUUGGUAAAGGUGUUAUUGGGUACGUUGAUUCUGACUAUGCCGGUGAUUUGGACAAGCGAAGAUCAACCACCGGUUAUGUGUUUACACUUGCUGAAGGACCAAUAAGUUGGAAGUCUACACUACAGUCUACAGUUGCAUUGUCAACCACAGAAGCCGAGUACAUGGCUGUAACAGAGGCUGUAAAGGAGGCUAUUUGGUUACAAGGUAUGGCUAAAACCUUGGGGUUGGUUCAGGAGCAUAUUAACGUGUAUUGUGAUAGUCAAAGUGCUAUUCAUUUAGCAAAGAAUCAAGUCUAUCAUGCACGUACAAAACAUAUCGACGUACGAUUCCAUUUUGUGCGGGAAAUUAUUGAAGAGGGGAAAAUUUGUCUUCAGAAGAUCAAGACUGCAGAUAAUCCCGCAGAUAUGAUGACCAAGGUGGUAACAGCAACCAAGUUCGAACAUUGUUUGAACUUGAUUAAUAUCCUGCAAGUUUAACAGUUGAAGAAGGCACUAUCAAGUAUUGUUGUCAAAAGCAGAAAGAAUUGUGUGAAGAUAAGAUUAUCGUAAUCAAAUCUUCAAGGUGGAGAUUAUUGGAACCCACCAUUGUUUGAAAAGUCAAAUGGGGUGGGCACCGAAAGUAGAAAGUAAUAUUGGUUGGCAAGUUGGGUUAAAAGUUGGCAUGGGAUAAUUGCAAUUUUGGCCCCUAAUUGUAUAGGGACAUUGCAAGUUGAUCCUUGAACCUCAACUAUAAAUAGGCCUAACCAUUGCUUACUUUCUUCAUCCCAUAAUUGCCAUUCUCUACUUAAGGCAUUAUUCUCUCUCUCUAUUUGUAAAUUUCACUUGUAAUUUUUGGAGUGAAAUAUAUUUGGUAAUGCCCGAGGACGUAGGCAAAAUUUGCUAAACCUCGUUAAAAUUCUAGUGUUCUUUAUUAUUUGUUUUGCAUAUUUUGUGAAUGUGAUUGUAGUGAUUUAUUGUGCUAUUAAAUUACGAUAGAGGGAUAUUCUGGCUAGGAAAGACUUGGUAUUUAAGUGAUCUUCGUGAUCUACCUCUCUUUCCUGGGAAUUGAACUUAGUGUGAUUUUUCAGUACAAUAAUUUUACUCUUUCACACGCUUCCGCGCAACAAUUACCAUGAAAUUCCCAUAUCCACCAUUACUAAAGAUUGAAAGGGAGACCUAC
Molecule: long non-coding RNA, 4427 nt
Filed under: Gossypium barbadense (sea-island cotton)
Lineage: Eukaryota; Viridiplantae; Streptophyta; Magnoliopsida; Malvales; Malvaceae
Description: long non-coding RNA (GBAR_LNC002714)
Source: RNAcentral